CCUCAGUGGUGCAUGUACACUUGAAACGGCAUUUGAUGACAGAUCUACCUGAAUCAGAUGAUGCUGUUGCGCAAUGGUGUAGAGAUAUUUUUGUUGCAAAGGAUGCAUUAUUGGACAAGCAUAACACUGAAGACACAUUCGGUGACCAAGAAUUGCAGGACAUUGGCCGACCAAUUAAGUCUCUUGUGGUUGUUACGUCCUGGGCAUGCUUGCUUGUUUUUGGGGUCUUGAAGUUCCUCCAGUGGUCUUCACUUAUGUCCUCGUGGAAGGGUAUUGCGAUAUCAUCAUCCGCACUGGCCGUCAUUACUGUACUUAUGCAGAUAUUGAUUCGAUUUAGUCAGUCAGAGCAUUCGACCCCUGCCAAGGUUGUCCCAGCAAAGCCCAAGAAUGCAGGAGAGCCAUCAGAAACAGGACAAGACAAACAACAUUAAGUCACAUUCUGUUAGUUAAAUCUCACACAUAGCAAUAACUUAAUCAAAUGCCUUUUUGUGAUGAUACAUUUAGUGUCUCCCUCUCUUUAAAACUUGUAUGUUUUCAUUUUAGGGUAGUAUGAACAGUUAUGUCUUUAAUUUUGUGAGUUGCACAUAUUGUAUGCAUGUCAGUUCAUUUUUGUCCAGUCAACUAGGUUCAUUCUGUACAUUGUAUCAACAGUGGCUCUAGCAUGUAUGUAUCAGUGCUCUGAUUAGGGCUAGUGCCACUGUUGAU
RNAcentral lists this unclassified non-coding RNA (705 nucleotides) under Hevea brasiliensis (rubber tree). Lineage: Eukaryota; Viridiplantae; Streptophyta; Magnoliopsida; Malpighiales; Euphorbiaceae. The record is from RNAcentral.